GUCUAUGGCCAUACCACCCUGAACAUACCUGAUAGCAUCUGAUCUCUGAAGCUAAGCAAAGUUGAGCCUGGGUAGUACUUGGAUAGGAGAACAUCUGGGAAUACUGGAUGCUCUAGGCU
RNAcentral lists this ribosomal RNA (119 nucleotides) under Notamacropus eugenii (tammar wallaby). Lineage: Eukaryota; Metazoa; Chordata; Mammalia; Diprotodontia; Macropodidae. The record is from RNAcentral.